UUCCGGUUGAUCCUGCCGGAGGUCACUGCUAUUGGGGUCCGGCUAAGCCAUGCGAGCGGAGGGUGCGGUCGAAAGAUCGUGGCCCCGCACACGGCUCAGUAACACGUAGUCAACCUACCCUUGGGACGGGGACAACCUCGGGAAACUGAGGCUAAUCCCCGAUAGGCGGGGGACGCUGGGAUGCCUCCUCGCCCAAAGCUCCGGCGCCCGAGGAUGGGACUGCGGCCUAUCAGGCUGUUGGUGGUGUAACGGACCACCAAACCUACGACGGGUACGGGCGAUGGGAGUCGGAGCCUGGAGAUGGGGACUGAGACAAGGCCCCAGGCCCUACGGGGCGCAGCAGGCGCGAAAACUCCGCAAUGCGCGCAAGCGUGACGGGGGGACCCCAAGUGCCGUUGGUCUUUCGAUCAACGGUUUUUAGGAAGUCUAAGAAGCUUCCAGAAUAAGGGCUGGGCAAGACUGGUGCCAGCCGCCGCGGUAACACCAGCAGCCCAAGUGGUGGCCACGAUUAUUGGGCCUAAAGCGCUCGUAGCCGGAUCAAUAAGUCCCUUGUGAAAUCGGGCCGCCCAACGGUUCGGCGUGCAAGGGAUACUGUUGGUCUUGAGGCCGGGAGAGGUCGGAGGUACUCCUGGGGUAGCGGUGAAAUGCUCUAAUCCUAGGGGGACCACCAGUGGCGAAGGCGUCCGACCAGAACGGACCUGACGGUGAGGGGCGAAGGCUAGGGGAGCGAACGGGAUUAGAUACCCCGGUAGUCCUAGCUGUAAAGCAUGCGGGCCAGGUGUCUAGCGCUCCUUGAGGGCGCUAUGUGCCGGAGGGAAGCCGUUAAGCCCGCCGCCUGGGAAGUACGGUCGCAAGGCUGAAACUUAAAGAAAUUGGCGGGGGAGCACCACAAGAGGUGGGACCUGCGGUUCAAUUGGAUUCAACGCCGGG
This 930-nucleotide ribosomal RNA is filed under the name uncultured archaeon. RNAcentral's name for it is "bacterial SSU rRNA". It matches the Rfam family "Archaeal small subunit ribosomal RNA", at positions 1 to 922 of the family's 1478-position model. The record is from RNAcentral.